Molecule: ribosomal RNA, 234 nt
Filed under: uncultured bacterium
Lineage: Bacteria
Description: partial 16S ribosomal RNA
Rfam family: Bacterial small subunit ribosomal RNA
Source: RNAcentral
UACAGAGGGGCAAGCGUUAUUCGGAAUUAUUGGGCGUAAAGGGCGCGUAGGCGGCAUGGCAAGUGGAUGGUGAAAUCCCUCGGCUUAACCGAGGAACUGCCGUCCAAACUGCUUCGCUUGAGACCGGGAGAGGUGAGUGGAAUUCCCAGUGUAGCGGUGAAAUGCGUAGAUAUUGGGAGGAACGACCAGUGGCGAAGGCGGCUCACUGGACCGGUACUGACGCUGAGGCACGAA